UGGGUUAUAAAUCAUGAGAUAAAUUCUUAUUAUCCUAAUCCUAGAAAUUAAAUUCCAGAAUCCUAGGAAUCACAAAAUAAAUCCUAAAGGACAGUGUUCAAUAUGACUCAAGUUUCAUUGUUUUACCCAAUAUUUCCAAUAGGAUCAACAUGAGAUUCAUUAAGGAUGUGCAUGAUCUUACAGGUUUUAAUCAAGAAAGCAGUAACGCUAGUACUGUAAGUUCUGGGCAAUAUUUCACAGAGAUGUGAUAAAAUAUCAAUUUAAAGCACAAUUCAUAAAGAGUCAACUUACAUCACUGCUCAGCAUAACAAAAACCAAAAUUCUUCCAAAUUCUAACAAGUCUUGUCACAAGCCAAAAGAGACUAGUAAAUAAAUCAAAAUCAAUCCCAACUAAUGAAACUUCUGGAAAAGCCCAAUAAUCAAGCUUUUUCUGGAAAUUUAAAAACACCAACAAAGAAGUGCUAAGUUAAUUGGUAAAAAACUAUGAAUGCAGUAACUCACCAAAUGACCUCCAUACACAACAAAGUUCUGCAACGCCCCAAUUAGCAGAAGCGCCCAAAUGGGUAAGACCUCGCCAAUUGCAUAAAGCCCAAGCCACAAAUCCAGUACUAUCAGCAAAGUGAUCAAAGGUGAUAUACUCCCGAAUGGGUACCCACUCCUUGAAUCGCUCAUGCAAAUACUGCAUCAUCAAUUCUGGCAGAAAUGAUGAGUGAUGAGACAGGAUUAUGGGUUACGGCGGAGAUAAUGGGAUCUUGAAGAGAAGUUGAUGAGAAUUGAUUUUUCAAGGAAUCAAGUUGAUGAGAAUUGAUUAUAGAAAGAUGAUGGAGACGAUCGGAAGACGUAGUUAGCUAAGAAAUUUUAUCUUUCUUCCCUGUUUUUAUUUCAUUUGGAGGAUAUUUAGAUAAUUAAUUCC
RNAcentral lists this long non-coding RNA (913 nucleotides) under Manihot esculenta (cassava). RNAcentral describes it as "long non-coding RNA (MESC_LNC006106)". The record is from RNAcentral. Lineage: Eukaryota; Viridiplantae; Streptophyta; Magnoliopsida; Malpighiales; Euphorbiaceae.